This 881-nucleotide ribosomal RNA is filed under the name Seimatosporium italicum. RNAcentral describes it as "eukaryotic LSU rRNA". It matches the Rfam family "Eukaryotic large subunit ribosomal RNA", at positions 32 to 936 of the family's 3401-position model. The record is from RNAcentral. Lineage: Eukaryota; Fungi; Ascomycota; Sordariomycetes; Amphisphaeriales; Sporocadaceae.
GCUUAAGCAUAUCAAUAAGCGGAGGAAAAGAAACCAACAGGGAUUGCCCUAGUAACGGCGAGUGAAGCGGCAACAGCUCAAAUUUGAAAUCUGGCCCUUGGGUCCGAAUUGUAAUUUGUAGAGGAUGUUUUUGGUGCGGUAUCUUCCGAGUUCCUUGGAACAGGACGCCUUAGAGGGUGAGAGCCCCGUACGGUUGAAUGCCUAGCCUUUGUAAAACUCCUUCGACGAGUCGAGUAGUUUGGGAAUGCUGCUCUAAAUGGGAGGUAAAUUUCUUCUAAAGCUAAAUACCGGCCAGAGACCGAUAGCGCACAAGUAGAGUGAUCGAAAGAUGAAAAGCACUUUGAAAAGAGGGUUAAAUAGCACGUGAAAUUGUUGAAAGGGAAGGAUUUAUGACCAGACUUUUUCUAGGCGAAUCAUCCGGUGUUCUCACCGGUGCACUUCGUGUAGUUUAGGCCAGCAUCGAUUUUCGGGGUGGGAUAAAAGCUUUAGGAAUGUGGCUCCACUUGUGGAGUGUUAUAGCCUAUUGUAUAAUACCGCUCUGGGGAUCGAGGUACGCGCUUCUGCAAGGAUGCUGGCGUAAUGGUUAUCAAUCACCCGUCUUGAAACACGGACCAAGGAGUCGAACAUUUGUGCAAGUGUUUGGGUGUUAAACCCUCACGCGUAAUGAAAGUGAACGGAGGUGAGAGCCCUUUACGGGGUGCAUCAUCGACCGAUCCUGAUGUCUUCGGAUGGAUUUGAGUAAGAGCAUAAAUGUUCGGACCCGAAAGAUGGUGAACUAUGCGUGGAUAGGGUGAAGCCAGAGGAAACUCUGGUGGAGGCUCGCAGCGGUUCUGACGUGCAAAUCGAUCGUCAAAUCUGCGCAUGGGGGCGAAAGACUAAUC